RNAcentral lists this ribosomal RNA (198 nucleotides) under Triticum aestivum (bread wheat). RNAcentral describes it as "partial small subunit ribosomal RNA". Lineage: Eukaryota; Viridiplantae; Streptophyta; Magnoliopsida; Poales; Poaceae. The record is from RNAcentral.
AUGGAAAGGGGGCUUCGAUCCUGUCUGAUGCUGUUAUUCUUGGGGUUCCCGUAUAAGAGAUCUAUCUACGGUGCUCAGCUCAGCCUACCUUCAAUUCGUACGGCGUCGCCCAUGGAUCCUCAUGUCAGUUUAGGAAUUUCCCCCAUCAAUUUGGUUUCCUGCUUUACGGUCAUGCAAUGCCAAUUUAGGAUCAUGUGA